GUGAGUCAUCGAGUCUUUGAACGCACCUUGCGCUCCUUGGUAUUCCGAGGAGCAUGCCUGUUUGAGUGUCUUGAAGUCAUCAACCCCUCCCGUUUCUUGCGGGAAUAGGGGAUUGGAGUUGGGGGCCUGGCUGCCGUGAGGCGGCUCCCCUCAAAUGCAUCGGUUGGACCUGUGGGUCGAACUCGACUGGGCGUUGUACCAUCCUCGCUCGACCGAGAAGUUCCCCCUUUUGGUGUCCUCCCACGACUUGCCUGUGGAGCGGCGGUCAAUGUACUUUGAAAUUCUGACCUCAAAUCAGGUAGGACUACCCGCUGAACUUAAGCAUAUCAAUAAGCGGAGG
RNAcentral lists this ribosomal RNA (340 nucleotides) under uncultured fungus. RNAcentral's name for it is "eukaryotic LSU rRNA". The stretch from base 1 to 71 matches the Rfam family "5.8S ribosomal RNA", at positions 84 to 154 of the family's 154-position model. Lineage: Eukaryota; Fungi. The record is from RNAcentral.